This 244-nucleotide long non-coding RNA is filed under the name Elaeis guineensis (African oil palm). RNAcentral's name for it is "long non-coding RNA (EGUI_LNC058320)". Lineage: Eukaryota; Viridiplantae; Streptophyta; Magnoliopsida; Arecales; Arecaceae. The record is from RNAcentral.
CUCAAACGACCUCAGAUCAACUCCAGAUCUGAGAGAAACUUGUACCAACUUCUUCUCAAGAGAUUCCAGGUCCUGGACCUGGUGUUUGGAUGCUUGCAAGAGGAGGGAGAGAAGAAAUGGCUGGCAGCUGCAAAGGGGGGAAGGGGCUAGCGCCUCCCUUCCUUUCUUUCCUUUUAUGGACUGGCGGCAAGAAACCCUAGGGUUUCUUGCUCGUGGUGCAUGGAAGAUUGCUGGAGAGAGAGGG